This 72-nucleotide transfer RNA is filed under the name Neocallimastix californiae. RNAcentral describes it as "tRNA-OTHER". It matches the Rfam family "tRNA". Rfam says of the family: Transfer RNA (tRNA) molecules are approximately 80 nucleotides in length. RNAcentral also lists the same sequence under 2 other names. The record is from RNAcentral. Lineage: Eukaryota; Fungi; Neocallimastigomycota; Neocallimastigomycetes; Neocallimastigales; Neocallimastigaceae.
GCCAUGUUGGUCCAGUCGGUUAGGACAAUACAGGUCACUGUAGAGGGCGGGGUUCGAAUCCUCGACAUGGCA